Molecule: long non-coding RNA, 764 nt
Filed under: Toxoplasma gondii VEG
Lineage: Eukaryota; Apicomplexa; Conoidasida; Eucoccidiorida; Sarcocystidae
Source: RNAcentral
CUUUUUUAUAUGCAUGGGAAACAACCCUUCGGCGAGAGCCAGCGUAGCGAAGCGUCGCCGCUGCUUCUUGGUCGGCGGUCACAAGCAAGGCAGUAGCUGGAUAAACUAGCAAAGCACUCUAUGGUACGGAUAGCGAGGUAGAAGCGAAUUAGCUGACUCUCGUUCGCGCAACAAACAGCAAGACCUGGGGAACGAUGUGAUAUAGUCGCAGGUGCCAAGUAAAGCAGAGAAGCCAAGUAGAGUAGUAGAGCGAAUGCUCUACUCGAAACCCAAUAGAAAAGCACUCGAUUUUUCCGUAAUGUAAGCGAUGCUCUACACUUGUGUGCUAGCAUGGCGUGUAGAGGAAGAGUUAAAGAAUAGACGCAGCAACGCACACUUUGAUGUUUCACUGCUGGAUUUUUAUCAAGCCCUGUGCCGGAAGUACCAUGCAAGAUACCUCGUAUUGGAUAACAUAUUAAUCUCAGGUGCAUACCGUCAAGACAAUAGAAACAAAAAACAGCACUCCAGGGUGCAACUAUCUCUGUGAUUUUUCAUUUUCAAGUAGGGACUUGUGUAUGAUGAGUACAGAGAAUUAGCUUUGAAUGUGAGGAUCCAGAUGGCCCGACUGUUGGACCCUGAGUUCCUCUGCUUGGUUGUCUGUUUCUCAUGACUGGAGUCAUAUUCACUAUCCUAGGUAAUAUAAUGUCUCUGUUUCUUCGAUUUGACUUAUUCAGUCCUGGGAUGUGGUUCAUUUGUACAGAGACUUUACAUCCCUUAAAUCAUAA